Molecule: ribosomal RNA, 459 nt
Filed under: uncultured bacterium
Lineage: Bacteria
Description: partial 16S ribosomal RNA
Rfam family: Bacterial small subunit ribosomal RNA
Source: RNAcentral
CCUACGGGUGGCUGCAGUGAGGAAUAUUGGUCAAUGGGCGCGAGCCUGAACCAGCCAAGUCGCGUGAGGGAAGACGGUCCUAUGGAUUGUAAACCUCUUUUGUCGGGGGGCAAAAGCCGCCACGCGUGGCGUUCCGAGAGUACCCGAAGAAAAAGCAUCGGCUAACUCCGUGCCAGCAGCCGCGGUAAUACGGAGGAUGCGAGCGUUAUCCGGAUUUAUUGGGUUUAAAGGGUGCGUAGGCGGAAUAUCAAGUCAGCGGUAAAAAUUCGGGGCUCAACCCCGUCGUGCCGUUGAAACUGAUGUUCUUGAGUGGGCGAGAAGUAUGCGGAAUGCGUGGUGUAGCGGUGAAAUGCAGAGAUAUCACGCAGAACUCCGAUUGCGAAGGCAGCAUACCGGCGCCCAACUGACGCUGAAGCACGAAAGCGUGGGUAUCGAACAGGAUUAGAUACCCUGGUAGUC